AUACUGUGAUGAUCCUAAACAACGAACUUGAAUCAUAACAUGUGACAAUUUUUCGAGCUUUUUAAUCCUGAUUAUA
RNAcentral lists this small nucleolar RNA (76 nucleotides) under Pseudocohnilembus persalinus. Lineage: Eukaryota; Ciliophora; Oligohymenophorea; Philasterida; Pseudocohnilembidae. The record is from RNAcentral.